GCAGCAGACCACCGCCUCGGGCCACGCUGCGCCGCGCGGCGCCAUUGGAGCGAGGAAGAGCGGUGACCAAUGAGAGCUGGGAGGGGCGGGAAGGCGAUCACGCCAACCGCUCGCCAUUGGCGUCUCCUCAGACAGCGUGGCCAAUAGCGCCGUGGGGGCAGUUAUAAAGUCUGCAGCGGGGGCAAGCACCCGGCCUUUCCAGGUGGGAGGGCUCGGCGGGAACCGGAUCGCGGCGGCCCGAGGGGCUGUGAGGCGGGGACGGUGAACAGCGACGGAGGACCCGGCGGCGGGCGGUUUUCCUGUGCGGUGUGGCCUGAGCGGCGGGGGGUGCGGCUGCUCCCGGCCUUCUGGGCUGGUAAGGCGCGGCCCCGUUCGUUCCUAGCGUAUUGUGCCGGGAGGUGGUGCUGAGCUGGCCCGGGUGUUCAGCCCCGCGCCCGUAGGCCGCGUCAGGAAGCUGCAGUCGGGGGUAAGGCACGGAGGGGCCUUGGGCGGGUGAAGCUGGGGCUGGAGGAACCACUUGGUGCCUUGGCAUUGCUGCUGUGCCAGCGCAGUGUAGGCUGCAGGCCUCGGAGCAGAGCAAACGCUGCAGCUCCGACUACAGCUAAAAAACGUGCUUGUCUGGGGUUGCUGUGUCAAAGGAGGAAGCUGCUGUUUCUCAAGCUGUACAAUUUGGGAGUCGAGAGUUUUAAAGCACAAAGAAGCAGUCACAGAAUUGGCUAAAGUACAAGAAAUCAAAAGUCAUUGACGACUUCUCUGCCACAUGGGGUAGCUUAAGGUAAACACCAUGGCAGGUGGUGUUGCAGCAGUAUGGGUAAUUGAGAGCAUUCACAGAAUCAACUCCAGUGCUAGACUGUGUAGACGGUUCAUAUCUUUGAUACUCACUAGCAUGGAUUCUAACAAGUUGCUCAAGUAAUGAUCUUUCUCCAACAUCAAAUCAAGUUCAGGCUUGUAAUUUUUAAAUUGUUUGCUGUUGUAUUUCCACUUUGGCUUCUAUAUUAUACCAAUUUUACAGCUUAUACAUCUAAUAAAGUUUUCAAAAUA
Long non-coding RNA from Falco peregrinus (peregrine falcon), 1041 nucleotides. RefSeq lists it as uncharacterized. NCBI's taxonomy places the organism in Eukaryota, Metazoa, Chordata, Aves, Falconiformes, Falconidae. The transcript is spliced from 2 exons. The record is from RefSeq and is a predicted model, not a curated record.